This 305-nucleotide ribosomal RNA is filed under the name uncultured bacterium. RNAcentral describes it as "bacterial SSU rRNA". It matches the Rfam family "Bacterial small subunit ribosomal RNA", at positions 28 to 334 of the family's 1533-position model. The record is from RNAcentral.
GAUGAACGCUAGCGGCAGGCCUAAUACAUGCAAGUCGGACGGUAUCGCGUUUUCGGACGCGAGAGAGUGGCGCACGGGUGCGUAACGCGUAUGCAACCUGCCCCAUACUGCGGGAUAGCCCGGGGAAACCCGGAUUAAUACCGCAUGUUACCCUGGCCGGGCAUCCGGUUUGGGUCAAAGAUUCAUCGGUAUGGGAUGGGCAUGCGUAGGAUUAGCUUGUUGGCGGUGUAACGGACCACCAAGGCGAUGAUCCUUAGGGGUUCUGAGAGGAAGGUCCCCCACACUGGCACUGAGACACGGGCCAG